RNAcentral lists this ribosomal RNA (301 nucleotides) under uncultured bacterium. RNAcentral describes it as "partial 16S ribosomal RNA". It matches the Rfam family "Bacterial small subunit ribosomal RNA", at positions 509 to 807 of the family's 1533-position model. The record is from RNAcentral.
CAGCAGCCACGGUAAUACAGAGGGUGCGAGCGUUAAUCGGAUUUACUGGGCGUAAAGCGUGCGUAGGCGGCUAAUUGAGUCGGAUGUGAAAUCCCCGAGCUUAACUUGGGAAUUGCAUUCGAUACUGGUUAGCUAGAGUGUGGGAGAGGAUGGUAGAAUUCCAGGUGUAGCGGUGAAAUGCGUAGAGAUCUGGAGGAAUACCGAUGGCGAAGGCAGCCAUCUGGCCUAACACUGACGCUGAGGUACGAAAGCAUGGGGAGCAAACAGGAUUAGAGACCCCCGUAGUCCCUGUCUCUUAUAC